Molecule: transfer RNA, 73 nt
Filed under: Solirubrobacteraceae bacterium
Lineage: Bacteria; Bacillati; Actinomycetota; Thermoleophilia; Solirubrobacterales; Solirubrobacteraceae
Also listed under: 1 other name
Description: tRNA-Lys
Rfam family: tRNA
About the family: Transfer RNA (tRNA) molecules are approximately 80 nucleotides in length. Their secondary structure includes four short double-helical elements and three loops (D, anti-codon, and T loops). Further hydrogen bonds mediate the characteristic L-shaped molecular structure. tRNAs have two regions of fundamental functional importance: the anti-codon, which is responsible for specific mRNA codon recognition, and the 3' end, to which the tRNAs corresponding amino acid is attached (by aminoacyl-tRNA synthetases). tRNAs cope with the degeneracy of the genetic code in two manners: having more than one tRNA (with a specific anti-codon) for a particular amino acid; and 'wobble' base-pairing, i.e. permitting non-standard base-pairing at the 3rd anti-codon position.
Source: RNAcentral
GCCGCCGUAGCUCAGUUGGUAGAGCUCCGGACUUUUAAUCCGAGGUGCGCGAGUUCGAGUCUCGCCGGCGGCA